AGGCGUCGAGCGGCAGGGCCUCGGCCCACCGCUUGGGGCUGAUGAACCCGCCCACCAGAAGGUUGAAGCCGAACUUGCCGUCCUUGACGGCCGGCAUGUAGGCGAGGUCGUUGAUGUGCGGGUGCUCGUACAGGUCGUGCGAGCCGAUCACGCACACGUUCCAUUUCCUCGGCCUGUUAGCACCAGGGCGUGUCACUGUCAGAUUUCUGACACUGUGGUGCCAAGGAACAAAGGGAAACAGAGAGAGGCACUACGCUACUGACAGGUUGGUGAUGGCGGGGUUCCCCUGGGAGUUGCUUGUGAUGUAGGAGGAGAGCAGGUUGGUGUAGGGGCGCGUGUCGACGAUCUCGUGGGGGUCGACGCCGGCGAGCGGGUUGCCGACGGGGUUGCGCACGUUGUCCAUGCCGCUCUGCAGGCUGGUGAGGCCGACGGCGCGGAGGCCGUCCAGGAUGGCCGGGACGUCCGGGAGCGUCACCCCGCGGAUCUGCCAGUUCUGCCGGGUCGUCACGUCCGCGCACCCGUCGGCGCCGUACGCCUCGAUCACGCUCGCCAGGUACCGCGUCUGCUCGCUCGUCGUCACGCCGUUGGGCAGCUUCAGCCGCAUCAUGAAGCGCCCGUCUGCAGCGCAGCAUAGCCAUGGUCCAUGGAGGAGCCGUUAGUUAGCAGCAAAUCACCAUUUCGUCUCACGGACUCGGGCUCAGAGUGAACUGAACCCAGUCCGAGAGGAGGUCUUUGUCCAAAAGAACGGAUGGUCCAAGAAAGAAAACGAAUCUGAAACCGCUGGUUCGGGAUAACAGAAAGUAAAGAUCGUUAUUUGUGACGCGGGUAUAUUCGUUAUCUACGGAAAGCUACUACUAUAACUGGUAUGCUUGGCAUUUGACUCUUGAGGUGUAUUUUAUUUAGUACUGACGGCGACUGGGAUGCUUUCUGCUAUUUAGUACCAACACCUUGAUGAAAUUUUCUAUUGCCUACUAAAAGUCCAAGGUGAGACUUCUUUUUUCUCAGUUAUGUAAGCUGCACACUACAGACUACAGAGCAGUCAUGUAAUAGUGCAUCAAGAACAGAGUCAUCUGAAAUCCAGUCGCAAAUGACUGCAUUUUACGAGCAGCAAGUAAUUCAGCAUUUCACGGGGGGACGGCGCAGAGGCAGGCAGUGGACGUACACUGGUGCUUGCGGCGGUGGAAGAGGCCGAGCCACUUGAGGCGGACGUCGACGUCGUCCUUGGUGAGCUUGGCGGCGUCGAUCACCUCCAUGGGGAUCUUGGCGAGGUCCCUGACGCCGCCGUCCAUGAACAGCGCCAUGGGCUCCUUCUCCA
This 1315-nucleotide long non-coding RNA is filed under the name Zea mays. RNAcentral's name for it is "long non-coding RNA (ZMAY_LNC003500)". Lineage: Eukaryota; Viridiplantae; Streptophyta; Magnoliopsida; Poales; Poaceae. The record is from RNAcentral.